This is a non-coding RNA of Mustela putorius furo (domestic ferret), 187 nucleotides long. The record is from Rfam. NCBI's taxonomy places the organism in Eukaryota, Metazoa, Chordata, Mammalia, Carnivora, Mustelidae.
AUCGCUUCUUGGCCUUUUGGCUAAGAUCAAGUGUAGUAUCUAUGACUUUAUUCCAGAAGAGUUACCUUAGAUUCCUAAGGUCUCAUUAAAUUCAUUUUCUUCUGAUUAAUGGUUUAGAUGUUAACUUCAAGAAUAAUGUAAGCAGAAAUGUUUUCACUAGAACUUCUAGGAAAAUUUUCUACAUUAU